GCCUCGGUGGUGUAACGGUAGCACGCGCCCCCGGUAGCGGGGAAAUACGGGUUCAACUCCAGCCUGAGGUU
Molecule: non-coding RNA, 71 nt
Organism: Parelaphostrongylus tenuis
Lineage: Eukaryota; Metazoa; Nematoda; Chromadorea; Rhabditida; Metastrongylidae
Source: the annotation of a GenBank genome assembly